AUUAAACGCUGGCGGCAGGCCUAACACAUGCAAGUCGAGCGGAUGACGGGAGCUUGCUCCUUGAUUCAGCGGCGGACGGGUGAGUAAUGCCUAGGAAUCUGCCUGGUAGUGGGGGACAACGUUUCGAAAGGAACGCUAAUACCGCAUACGUCCUACGAGAGAAAGCAGGGGACCUUCGGGCCUUGCGCUAUCAGAUGAGCCUAGGUCGGAUUAGCUAGUAGGUGAGGUAAUGGCUCACCUAGGCGACGAUCCGUAACUGGUCUGAGAGGAUGAUCAGUCACACUGGAACUGAGACACGGUCCAGACUCCUACGGGAGGCAGCAGUGGGGAAUAUUGGACAAUGGGCGAAAGCCUGAUCCAGCCAUGCCGCGUGUGUGAAGAAGGUCUUCGGAUUGUAAAGCACUUUAAGUUGGGAGGAAGGGUUGUACGUUAAUACCGUGCAAUUUUGACGUUACCGACAGAAUAAGCACCGGCUAACUCUGUGCCAGCAGCCGCCGUAA
RNAcentral lists this ribosomal RNA (500 nucleotides) under uncultured bacterium. RNAcentral's name for it is "partial 16S ribosomal RNA". It matches the Rfam family "Bacterial small subunit ribosomal RNA", at positions 30 to 523 of the family's 1533-position model. The record is from RNAcentral.